UUGUAAAGAACUUUUCUCCAUCUGUUGCUUGUUGUUUUGUCCUAACAACAGUGUCCUUUGCCUUGCAGAAGCUUUGCAAUUUUGUGAGGUCCCAUUUGUUGAUUCUUGAUUUUAGAACAUAAGCCAUUUGUGUUUUGUUCAGGAAAAUUUCCCCAGUGCCCAUGUGUUCAAGGCUCUUCCCAACUUUUUCUUCUAUUAGUUUGUGUGUAUCUGGUUUUAGGUGGAGGUCCUUGAUCCACUUGGACUUGAGCUUUGUACAGGGCAAUAAGAAUGGAUCAAUUUGCAUUCUUCUACACAUUGACCUCCAGUUGAACCAGCACCAUUUGUUGAAAAUGCUAUAUUUUAUCCACUGGAUGGUUUUGGCUCCUUUGUCAAAGAUGAAGUGCCCAUAGGUAUGUGGGUUCAUUUCUGGGUCUUCAAUUCUGUUCCACUGAUCUAUUUGUCUGUCUCUGUACCAACACUAUACAGUUUUUAUGACUAUUGCUCCAUAAUACUGCUAGAAGUCAGGGAUGGUGACUCCCCCAGAAGUCUUUUUAUUGUUGAGGAUAGUUUUCACUAUCCUGGGUUUUUUGUUAUUCCAAAUGAAUCUGCAAAUUGCUCUUUCUAACUCUAUGUAGGAUUGAGUUGGAAUUUUGAUGGGGAUUGCAAUGAAUCUGUAGAAUGCUUUUGGCAAGAUGGCCAUCUUUACUAUACUAAUCCUGCUAAUCCACGAGCAUGGGCAAUCUUUCCAUCUUCCGAGAUCAUCAAUUUCUUUCUUCAGAGACUUGAAGUUCUGGUCAUACAGAUCUUUCACUUGCUUGGUUAGAGUCAUCCUGAGGUUUUUCUAUUAUUUGAGACUAUUGUAAGGGGUGUCAUUUCCCUAAUUUCUUUCUCAGCCCAUUUAUCCUUUGAGUAGAGGAAGGCUACUGAUUGUUUCAGUUGAUUUCAUAUCAUCCACCUUGCUGAACUUUUUUGUCAGAAUUAGCAGUUCUCUAGCGGAACUUUUGGGGUCACUUUAGUAUACUAUCAUACCAUCUGCAAAUAGUGAUAUUUUGACUUCUUUCGAAUAUGUAUCCUGUUGACCUCCUUUCGUUGUCUGAUUGCUCUGACUAGAACUUUGAGUACUAUAUUGAAAAAGUAGGGAGCUAGGGAGCAGCCUUGUCUAGUCCCUGAUUUUAGUGAGAUUGCUUCAAGUUUUCUCUCCAUUAGUAUGAUGUUGGCUACUGGUUUGCUGUAUAUUGUUUUUACUAUAUUUAGGUAUGGGCCUUGAAUUCCUGAUCUUUCCAAGGCUUUUAACAUGAAGCAUUGUUGAAUUUUGACAAAUGCUUCGUCAGCAUAUAAUGAGAUGAUCCUGUGGUUCUUAUCUUUGAGUUUAUUUAUAUAGUGUAUUACAUUGAUGGAUUUCUACAUAGUGAUUGAUCCCUGCAUCACUGGAUGAAGCCUACUUGAUCACAAUGGAUAAUCCUUUUGAUGUGUUCUUGGAUUCAGUUUGCAAGAAUUUUAUUGAGUAUUUUUGCAUCUUAUUCAUAAGGGAAAUUGGUCUGAAGUUCUCUUUCUUUGUUGGGUCUUUGUGUGGUUUAUGUAUAAGCACAAUUGUGGCUUCAUAGAAGGAAUUGUGUAGUGUUCCUUCUGUUUCUAUUUUGUGAACUAGCUUGGACAGUAUUGGUAUUAGGGCACUUUUUUGAUGGGAGACUUAAUGACUGCUUCUAUUUCUUUAGGGGUCAUGGGGUUGUAUAGAUGGUUUACCUGAUCCUGAUUUAACUUUGGCACCUGGUCUGUCUAGAAAAUUGUCCAUUUCCUCCAGAUUUUCCAGUUUUGUUGAAUAUAGGCUUUUGAAAUAUGAUCUGAUAAUUUUUUAAUUUCCUCAGAUUCUGUCAUUAUGUCUCCCUUUUCAUUUCCGAUUUUGUUAAUUUGGAUAUUUUCUCUGUGCCCUCUGGUUACUCUGGCUAAGGGUUUAUCUAUCUUGUUGAUUUUCUCAAAGAAACAGCUCCUGGUUUUGUUGAUUCUUUGUAUAGUACUUUUUGUUUUUACUUGGUUGAUUUCAGCUCUGAGUUUGAUUAUUUCCUGCCUUCUACUCCUCUUGGGUGUAUUUGCUUCUUUUUGUUCUAGAGCUUUUAGGUGUGCUGUCAAGCUGAUGACAUAUGCUCUCUCCUGUUUCUUUUGUGAGGCACUCAGAGCUCUGAGUUUUCCUCUUAGCACAGCUUUCAUUGUGUCUCAUAAGUUUGUAUGUCGUGCCUUCAUUUUCAUUAAAUUCUAAAAAGUCUUUAAUUUCUUUCUUCAUUUCUUCCUUGACCAGGUUAUCAUUGAGUAGAGCAUUGUUCAACUUCCAUAUGUAUGUGGGCUUUUUGUCAUUUUUUGUUGUUCUUGAAGACUGGUCUUAAUCCAUGAUGAUCUUCUAGAAUGCAUGGGCUUAUUUCAAUCUUUUUGUAUCUUUUGAGGUCUGUUUUGUGACUGAUUUUGUGGUCAAUUUUGAAGAAGGUGCCAUGAGGUGCUGAGAAGUCAUAUUCUUUUGUUUUAGGAUGGAAUAUUCUAUAGAUAGCUAUUAAAUCCAUUUGGUUCAUAACUUCUGUUAGUUUCUCUGUGUCUUUGUUUAGUUUCUGUUUCCAUGAUCUAUCCAUUGAUGAGAGUGGGGUUUUGAAGUUUCUCACUAUUUAUGUGUGAUGUGCAAUAUGUGCUUGGAGCUUUAAUAAGGUUUUUAUGAAAGUAGGUGUCCAUGCAUUUGGAGCAUAGAUAUUCAGAAUUGAGAGUUCAUCUUGGUGGAUUUUUCCUUUGAUGAAUAUGAAGUGUCCUUCCAUAUCUUUUUUGAUAACAUUUGGUUGAAAGUCGAUUUUAUUAGAUGCUAGAAUGACUGCUCCAGAUUGUUUCUUGGGACCAUUUGCUUGGAAAAUUGUUUCCAGCAUUUUACUCUGGGGUAAAAGCUUUCUUUGUCACUGAGGUGUGUUUCCUGUAUGCAGCAAAAUAUUGGGUCCUCUUUACAUAUCCAGUAUGUUAGUUUGUCUUUUUAUUGUGGAACUGCAUCCAAUGUUGUUAAGAGAUAUUAAGGAAUUGUGAUUGUUGUUUCCUGUUAUUUUCAUUGUUAGAGGUGGAAUUAUGAUUGUCUUUCUUUUGGUUUCAUUACAAGGAAAGUAUAUUCUUGCUUUCUGUAUGGUGUAGUUUCUCUCCUCGUGUUGGAGUUUUCCAUCUAUUAUCCUUUAUAGGGCUGGAUUUGUAGAAAGAUAUUGCCUAAAUUUGGUUUUGUCAUGGAAUAUCUUGGUUUCUCUAUGUUAAUUGAGAGUUUUGCUGGAUACAGUAACCUGGGCUGGCGUUUGUGUUCUCUUAGGGUCUGUAUGACAUCUGUCCAGGACCUUCUGGCUUUCAUAGUCUCUGGUGAGAAGUCUAGUGUAAUUCUUUUUUUUUUUUUUUUUGGAACUGGGAACCAAACCCAGGGCUUUGCACUUCCUAGGCAAGCGCUCUACCACUGAGCUAAAUCCCCAACCCCCUGUCUAGUGUAAUUCUUAUAGGUCUGCCUUUAUAUGUCACUUGACCUUUUGCCCUACUGCUUUUAAUAUUCUUUCUUUGUUUUGUGCAUUUGGUGUUUUACCUAUUAUGGAAUUUCUCUUCUGGUCCAAUCUAUUUGGAGUUCUGUAGGCUUCUUGUAUGUUUAUGGGCAUCUCUUUCUUUAGGUUAGGGAAGAUUUCUUCUAUAAUUAUGUUUAAGAUAUUUACUGGCCCUUUAAGUUGUGAAUCUUUGCUCUCUUCUAUACCCAUUAUCCUUACGUUUGAUCUUCUCAUUGUGUCCUGGACUUCUUGGAUGUUUUUGGGUUAGGAUCUAUUUGUGUUUAACAUUAUCUUUGACAGUCGUGUCAAUGUUUUCUAUUGUAUCUUCUGCCCCUGAGACUCUCUCUUUUAUCUCUUGUUAUUUCUUGGUAAUGCUUGCGUCCAUGACUCCUGAUCUCUUUCCUAGGUUUUCUAUUUCCAGUGUUGUCUCCCUUUGUGAUUUUUUUUAUUGUUUCCAUUUUUAUUUUUAGAUCCUGGAUGGUUUUGUUCAAUUUGUUCACCUUUUGACUGUGUUUCCUGUAACUCUUUAAGGGAUUUUUGUGUUUCCUCUUUAAGGGUGUUACUUGUUUACCUGUGUUGUCCAGCAUUUUUUAAGGGAGUUAUUUAUGUCCUUCUUAAAGUCCUCUAACAUCAUCAUCAUCAUCAUCAUCAUCAUCAUCAUCAUCAUCAUGAGAUGUGAUUUUCAAUCCUAAUCUUGGUUUUCCAGUGUGUUGAAAUAUCCAGUAUUUGCUUUGGUGGGCGAAUUGGGCUCUGAUGAUGCCAAGUAGUCUUGGUUUCUGUUGCUUCGGUUCCUGUGCUUACCUGUCACCAUCUGGUUGUCUCUGGUGUUAGCUGGUCUUGCUGUCUCUGACAGUGGAUUGACUCUCUUAUAAGCCUCUGUGUCAGCACUUCUGUAGACCUGUUUUCUUUUAGCCAGAUCUGGGAACAGAGAGCUGCUCCUGGGUUUGUGUGACCUGAAGCCUUCAGGCAGGUGGUUUGGCACAGAAGAGUUGGUCUUACCUCUGCUUUCACAUGUGUAGGUGCUCCUGGUGACUGGCUUUCAGCUCUCAGCACAGGCAGAAACCCUAAGUGUCCUGCCCCUGACUGCUCCUCGGUUCCUGUGCUCAGAGGGCAGAGAUGGCACUAGGCAGUUUCCUCUUGGGUCAGGAAUGUGGACAGAAAGUAGUUGCCUCCUCUGAGUUCUCAGGUUUGUCUGCACUUCUGAGAGUCCAGUUCUCUCCCCCAUGGGGAUUUGGGUACAUGGAGCUGUGGAACUGGUUCAGUUCAGUUAUGGGCUUGGGCAGAAACCAGCAGGUUCCGGCUUCUGACUGCUCCUAUAUUCAUGUAUCCAGAGGCACUAUGUAGUUUCUUCUUGGGCCAGGAAUGUGAGGAGAAGUGGGCAGAGGUGGCACUCUCCCCUGAGGUCUCAGGAUUGUCCUCACUUCUGUGAGUUCACCUCUCUCCUCAUGGGAUCUGGGUGCAGGAAGCUGUGGGAUCCAUUCAGUUCAGAUCUCAGCACAGCCAGAAACGGGAAGUGUCCUGUCCCAGAGGACUUCUGCCUUUGUGUGUUCUGAGGCCACCAGAAAGGUCACUUGGAGCAGAAAAGUUGGUCUUACCUCUGCUGUCAAGUGUGUAUGUGCUCAUGGCGACUGGCUUCAGCUCUCAGUGCCAAAAAAAAAACAAAAAAAAAACAAAAACAAAAACAAAACAAAAAAAACCAAAAUAAAAAACAAAAAAACUAUUUUAAGUAAAUCUAGUUGUCUGUCUUUCACAUUUUCUAUUCAUAUAUUUAUAUAUAGAUAGAGUCUCACUGUUUAGCCCUGACUAACUUUCUAUAUACUCCUCAAAUGGUGAUAAAAAAAACUUGGCAUUUAAUGUAGAAGAGUGAAACUAGAUCUUCAUCUCUGCCUGCAUAAAAAUCAACUCCAAAAGGAUAGAAGACCUUAACGUAAGACCUGACAUUCUGAAAUUGCUAUUGGGAAAGUAGGAGAAACUCACCAAGGUUAGAACUUUGUGAACUGAACUGAUGUGUCCAGGAAAUAUGGCCAACCAUUGAUAAUUGAGUUGUCAUAAAUGUCAACAUAUGAACUAGUGUGGACAUUAUUAAAAGACAAAAGAUAACCUGAGUGUAAAUUGACAACCCUUGCAUACUGCUGGCAGAGCAAAAAUUGAUAUAACAAUCAUAAAACACAGUGUGGAGAUUCCUCAAAAGGUGAAACCAUGUUUUCCUGUGAUCCAGGCAUCCCAAAAUUGAGUAUGUACCAAGAAAAGGAUCUCAGAAUGUCAGAGACUUCUGCACUGGGCCAUGUGUCAGACACAUAUGAGAGCCAAGCUAUGGAGACAACCAGAGUCCAGAGAGUGAAGAACUGAUACAGCACAGCAUAAGAUCCCUCACAACACCAAAAAUGGACCUGCCAGAUGGCCCCAGCUGGCUGCACCCCCACAAGUAGGCACAUUAACUGGUUUCUUUGUUUCUUCCCACAGUGAUUUGGUUGCAAGAGGCCAGGACUCCUGCCAUCUUGGAAGCCUCUCCAUUACCUGUUCACACGACACACGGAGCAUCCUUUGUGCCCUGAAGAAAACUCUGACCCCUCAACAGAAUAUGAAUGGCAGGGCAGAAAUACAAGUUGAGGCUACAUAAGUCAGUGCUUUGGGAACAGUUGUCAAGGCCCUGGUGAAACUCUCCACACCCAAUGACAAGUUCCUGUGUGUCACACUCUUGGUAACACUUCUGCCUAUGAAAUUAAACUCAGCUCUCUGAGGACUCAGUGGCUGAUCUUCUCUCAAACAUAGACUGCCUAAGAUAAGAAAUCAUUCAGCUUUCAAUAUCUCAAAAUUUUGACAGGAUAUCUCCAUAUUUCACUGCUGUUCUUAUCCAGGAUCAAGCUUGGAACCAGCUCCCGCUCUGACUUCAGCUGUCAAACACUGCAGACUUCACCUUGACUCUACUCAACGCACAGCGUGUGCCUCACCUUUCAUGCAGUCAGACACCCCGAGACAAAGUGUGCAGCGUGGCAUGGCAAACGUCUCCUACGAAGUAGAAGAGGAGGUGGAAAGUGUUUCAAAUGAGCAUGGACAUGAGGGAAAACUGACUUGGAGGGACAUCUACAGGCACAUGAAUUAUGAAAUGACUUUGUUUAGCAUGGAGAUUCCCUCCAUUUGAAGCAAAUUUCACCAGCAUCAACUGUCUAUAGGUACAUCUGGAGGGGGGUUUGUAUAGGUGUUUGUGUUUCGCUGUCUGUCCAGAUAUACAGUACAGAAGAGUGCAUUCUGAUGACUCAGAUUGCAGAGCACCAGGGAGGCUCACCAAUAAUGACUCACAAAUGGGGUGAGAUGUGAAGGUUUCUGGAUCUAGGUGGGUAAGGAGCAAGCUGUCUAGCAAGUUAGCAUGGUCUUGAGAGCUGCAUCAUGAGCAAGGAACUCACCUGUUCCUGUGCCCUCUACCUUCCCUUAUGAGCACUAGAUGGACACUUCCUGCCUCACCAUUGCUCUGUUUCUGCGUCCAAUCUGGUCAGCAAUAGCCAUCUUGGACACAAACACAAAGAGAUCCGGCACUAUGGGAUCCACAUAUGCUUCCACUGGCCACUUUCUCUACUAAUGACUCUCAUGUACAUCUGGAGACAGACAGCAGACAAUCUCACCAUGAAUGGAAGGUCCUCUGAGGCCUGUGUUCCUGAUGAUGACCUACCUGCCAUGGUACCGGGUUUACAGGAUUUCUAAGUUCCAUGAAGUAUCGCACUUAGGAAGUGCAAUUUUGGUACCACAAGGCAUCACGAAGGACUUAAAUGGAAGUGUAAGAACAACCAUGAGCUAAGAACUUCCUCCCAGAAUCUUUGUUCAGUCCUCAGGUCCCAAAGGAUCUGAGAAGGGUAUGCACCCAUAGAUCCACUGCUCAUGUGCAGAUACAGAAAUAGUUCGCCCUUAGUUAAAGCCUAUGAUGUAGUCAUGGCUGCCCUCUGGCACAUAACCCUAGGAAAUUCCUACCUGAUUCUCUCCUACACCUGUCCUCAUUCUCAGCAAGCUGCUAUCUACUCUCUGGUUUCAUUUUCCAGAAAGUAAAAUGCUUCCAAGUACACUUCAAAUAGAAAGGGGCCACGUAGUAGAAUCUUGCAGGCCCUGUGAUGGCACACGCUCUCAGGCUGAUUCCUCUUGAGUUCUCCAUGGAUCCCUUCACCCACCCUUCUCCAGCAUCCUUGCCCAGCCUCACUAGACAUUUCUCUGCUCCCCACAUGAAGCCUAGUUACUCAGGAAAAAAUUACUGUGGGGUUGGAUUUCUGGUGAGAUAAUAUAUUAUCACCAAGCCCUAAAAUGUGGACUUUCAUAAUAUCUUUCAUUUAAUCCAGGAAAUAGUUAUGAGAGUUAAUUUGCUGCUUACCUAGGAACCUUAAUCCACUCCCCAGGACAGACAUGGUGUAAAGAAAGAACUGAAUUCUGCAAGUUAAUCUUUAUGCAGAUAACAUCAAUAAAUCCUUUUCCUUAAAGUAACAGAUAUCUUUCUAAAAAGAUAGAUGUAAAAGUACAUUAUAGCCUGUUCCAGUUGCCUCUCACCUUGGAUACCACCACCUGCCUUUUAACUCACAGCCUGGAUUUUGUUGCUGUCUAUUCAUCCUCUCAGAUUGGCAAGCAGCAACAUAAGGUUUACUGGUCUUUUAUAACCCAAUUCUUCAGGGUAUUCCAUAGCUACCUUUUAGAGGGGGCCCUGGGUGCAGUCUGAUAUCUGCCACAAAGCUGUCCCCUAGGUGUAUUUGGGAAAGAAAGGCUUGACUCUGUUCCUUGUAUAGUGGGAUCCUCAGCCUGGGACUCUUUGCUGGAAAUGGAGGAAAUCUAUCCUGUGAGGUCAUGUUGUCCUUUGAGCCAGUGGUAAUCACAUUGUGGAACUGUCCCAUGGGUUCCUGAUGAGGUGAUGUUUGUGGAAAUGUGUGUUUACUUUUCACUGGGUACUUGGUGCCCUCACUGGUCUUACUCCAAGAGGCAUGAGGAGAUAAAGGAUCCUGUGAGGACACUUUGCUGUUUGAAUUGUUAGAGCCAGCUUUGGACACAUCCAUGGAUGGAUGGCUGGAGGGAGUUUCCGGUGAUGAAUCCUCUGAAGACUCUCAGCUCUCACCUGAGGCUCUCUGCUCUCUGCCUCUCUCCCCUAACCCACGUGUGCUGAUCAUGCAUUGAACCUAGUGGACAAACUGAUGGCAGUUUCUGUAAAUUGGAUGUCUCUUCUUGUUUAAGCAUGUUAGGGUGUGUGGCAUAUUGUACCUCAUUCUACUCUCAUCUCCAUUCUCAGUGUUUUCAGGCUGAUUGGAGAUCAUGGAGGAGGGAAGGCUUGGCAGGCUAGAUACCCUCCUCAUAGCCUUUUUUUGUUUCAUGGGUGGAAUCGAAUGUUUCAAGUUUUGAUCCCACUGCUGGCUUUUUUAUUGAGUUGUCUUCCCAGGGUGACUGUUGCCUCAGCAUCAAGUAGGUUGCCGUGACAUGGCCAUACUUUUUCUCCUGUAACCAUUCCUUUAUUGCUUUAAAUCCCUGUGGGCACUAUGUUUACAGUGACAAUACUGUAGGGCAGAUGCCAUUUGCUUAAAUAGCCUAUGGGAUUCUUGCUCAGGUAGAUAGCCAGACUCCAAAAUUAUGCCCAGUAACUCUCCUUCCACUUUGUGUUCCAGAUGCAUAUAAAUGUUUUUCACGAUAAUUUGCAAAACUUUAAUAAUAUGAGGGUAGAAUAGGAAUUUUAUCAUUUCAGAUUCUGAUUUGAUGAGUGUGUUCUUCUUUUUGUUAGGCUGUUAACUGCUUCCAUAGUCUGCAUGAGGAGGUGGUUAUUCAAUUUUCCUUCCCAGAUGCUCCUUGACCAAGGGUAUUUAAGACUUUAUACUGUUCAUAUAAAGCCUCUUCAUCAAAGUUUUUGGACCUUAGGUCUGACACAGGCCUAUUAUGACCCCAUUAUUCAGGGUCUUCUAUGCCCACUUUUAAGGGUGUCCUUCCUAAAGUCUUAUAGCAAUUGUGAAGGUGUCUCUUGGGCAUAUGUGGGAGGACAGGCUCCAUGCCGUUUCUUGUACAGUGGGAUCCUGACCCAUGGCUUCCUUGCUGCAGAAUGCAGGUGAUCUGUACUAAGAGUCAUGUUGUUCCUUGAACCAGAGUGAGUCAUGUCAGGAAGCAGUGUGGGAAGAUCCCUGAGGUGAAGUUUGUGGAAGAGUGAGUUGAUUUUUCCACUGGAUAAGUUGGUGCACUUACACUGGGCUUCCUGGUCAGAGGCAAUUAAGAGGUUGUACAUUUUACUCUUUGAAUUAUUAUAGCCAGUUUGGACACAUCCACGGAUGACUGGCUGGAAUAGAUUUCCAAGGAUGAAAUCUCCUGAAGGUUCUCUGGUACAGCCUUCAUCUGAGGUAUCACUGCUCUCUGUCUCCCCUCAGAUGCUGCUCAUGAAGAGAGCCUUGUGGACAAGGCAGGGACAGAUUCUGGGAAGGGGAGUUCUCUACUUGCUCAAGCAUUUCAGGGUGGGUGGCAUACUGUACCUCAUUCAGCUCUUUUUCCAUUUUAAGGAAUUCCAGUUGGGUUGACCAAAGGCAGGUGGGAAGGCAGGCACACUAGAUCCCCUCCUUAUAGCCAUUUGCUAUUUCUGGUUGGCCCUAUAUGGUUCAAGACUCAAUCCCACCGCUUGGGUUUAGGUUUUUAUUGAGUUUUCUUCCCAGGGUUAUUGUUGCCCCAGCAUCAGCUUUGGCGCCAUCACAUGGUCGAACUUUUUCUCCAGUAAAACUUCUGUCAUCUCCCAUUGCUCAUAUGCCAUGACACCCGUGUUGACCAUUACAGUGUGGUCUGGCAGGCUGUCCGUAUUCUCCUUAGAGGAAAUGAGGCAAAUGUAAUAGUCGUGAUUGAGCCACUCACAGCUCACAAUAUCAUGUACUGUUGGCCUUUGUCCAGUGUUUAUAGUUAACUUGUUAGCAGUCAUGUCACCAAGUUCUGGUGACAGUUUGAAUUUUACAGUGUACUUUCCUCACAAUGUCUUCUGCUUUAGUUCUCCGUGAUUACUUUUCUGGAAAGGGAAGCAUCCUGUGGACAUAAAGUAAAGCAGAACUCGAGAGCUCCAGACAUUGAUUGCAUGGCCAUGAUAACUUUUACCUUCAAAGUGUUCUUUGGGACAAAAUCGGGGAGUCUGUUUGAGAGUUGUUAGCUCAUGGACCAUGAUAGUCUUUUUUGUCUAAUCUGAACCACUAAGUUGUAUAUUUCCUUUGCCUUUCACUGUAAUAUUUCCUGGCUUUCUCUCCCUGAGGGCAAUACACUUCUGAUAACACUAUUAGAGGGAACAUACCAUUUGUUUAAAUAGCCUGUGGGAUUCCUCAUCAAGUAGGUUGCCAGUUUCCACAAUUCUGCCCAACAACUGCCCACACUUCCUGUUCCAGGAUCAGAUAAACGUUUUUAUGUAGUGUGCAAAUGAUUAAUAAUGUGAGGAUGGUAUACAGUUUUUCUAAUUGCAAUUACUGAUUUGGUCAAAGUUCUUUCUGUCUUAUACCAAAGUCUAGGUGAGGAAAUGGCUUCUCAGUUUUACUUCCAUAAAUGCUCCUUGUCCAAGGGUCUUUAGUAUUUUAUAAUGUUCAGAUAAAGCCUCUUCAUCAAAGGGGUUGAGCAUUAGGACCUGAGGCAGGCCCUUUUAACCCCAGUUUUCAUGGGCUUCAGACUCUUUCUUUUAAAGGGGACUCUGGGUACAGGAGGAUAGUGGCCAAAAAGGUGUCACUGGAGCGUGUUUAGGGAGGACGGGCUUGAGUGUCUUUCUUGCACAGGAGGACCCUCACCAUGGGCCUACUUCCUGUAGAAUGAAGGUGUUCUAUCCUGUGAGGUCAUGUUGUCCUUUGAAGCAGUGGUCUUCAUGACACUGAGCUAUGCUGUGAGGUCCUACUGAGGUGAGGACUGUGGACGACAUGUUAUUCUUUUCAAGGGGUGUUGGUGGAGUGACAUGGGAUUACUCCACAGAGGCAUGAUGAGGUAAAACACCCUGUAAGGACACUGGCUCUUUGGAUUGGUUGUGCCAGCUUUGGACACAUCCAGGAUGGCUGGCUGGGGUAGAUUUCCAGUGAUGAAUCCUCUGAAGACUCUCUGGUACAGCUUUCAUUGAGGCUUACUGCCCCCGUCUUCCCUUUGGGGCUGCUCGUGACAUGAGCCCUCUAGACAAGCUGGGGGCAGAUCCUGUGAAUGGGAACUCUCUUCUUUUCCAAGCCAUCGGGGAGGCUGGCAUAAUGUACCUCAUUCUACUCUUUUUCCCUUCUAAGUAUUUUCAGGUUGAUUUGGCCAAAUGAAGGUGGAAAGGGCAGGCGACCUAGAUCCCUGCCUUAGCCACUUGUUGGUUCAUGGUUAGCCCUGGAUGUUUCAAGCUAUUAACACCCUGCCUGGGCCUUAGGUAUUUUUAUUGAGUUGUCUUCCCCGGGUUAUUGUUACCUUGGCAUCAAAUAUGUUGCCAUGACAAGGCCAAUAUUUUUCUCCUGUAAGCACUACUUUGUAUGUUGUUGCUUAUAUCCCAUGAUGACCAUUACAGUCGGGUGUGGGUUGCUGUCUUUUUUCUCUCUAAAAAUACUGGGAGAACCUCCUUUUUCAUGCUUUAGUCUUUGAAAACGUAAAAAUGCAAUGAAGUGUUGACGUUUGUCCAGAGUUCACACUUAACAAGUUAGCAGUCACAUCACAAAGUUCUGUUGAAGUCCUGCCAAGGCACUCUGCUUUAGGUCGCCACAGUUAUCUUUCUGGAAAGGCCAGCAUCCUCUAGACAUAAAGCAGAGCACAUCCCUGGCCUCCACACAUCAACCACCAUAGUCUGCAUGAGGACAUUAUACCCUUUACCUUCAGAGAGGUCUGGGCCAGGUCAGAAGCGUCCCAGCAAAAGCUGCAAGCUUCUAGCCCGUGAUAACCUUCUUGCACAAUUUGUAAUCGAUAAGGUUUAUAUUUCAUUUGCCUUCCACUACCAUAUUUCUGGGCUUUAUAUCCCUGUGGGCAAAUGUUUAUAGUGAAAAUACUGGAGGGCACAUACACUUGCUUAAAUAGCCUAUGGGGUUCUUUGUCAGGUACGUAGCCAAACUCCAAAAUUCUGCCCAACUACUCUCCUUCCACUUUGUGUUCCAAAGCCAUAUAAAGGUUUUUUGCUGAUAAUGUGCAAAAGAUUAAUGAUAUGAAUGUGGUGUCGAGUUUAUGAAGGUGUUCUUUCUCCCUUUUGUAGAAUUGUAACUGCCACUAUAGUCUGCAUGAGGACAUGGCUAGCCAAUUUGACUUCCCUAAAUGCUCCUUGGCCAAGAAUCUUUAAUAUUUUUUAAUGUUUAGAUAGAGCCUCUCCAUGAAAGUGAUUGGACUUUAAGACCUGACACAGGCCUUUUAUAACCCUAUUCUUCAGGGGCUUCUAGACCCAUAGUUUAAAGGGGGACCCGAUUACAUUGUGUCACUAGUCAGAAAGGUGUCACUGGGGCAUAUAUGAGGAAGACAGGCUUGACUCUUUCUUUUCUGGGGAAGCCUCACUCCUUUUUUGAAAAUAGAGGUGAUCUAGCCUGUGAGUCUAUGUUGUUGAACUUUUAACUGGAUAUGUUGUUGCCCUUACACUGGGCUUCCCCACAGAGGAAUGGUGGAGUGAAACACUCAGGGAGGACACCUUGCUUUUCGCAUUCUUAGAGCCAGCUCUGGACACAUGCAUGGAUGAUUGCCCGGGUAGAAUCACAGUGAUGAAGCUCUGAAGCCUCUCCAGUAGAGCUUUCCUAAGAAGUGUCACUGCUCUCUGUCUCCCCUGACCUCCAAUGUGCUGCUCAUGAUGUCAGCCUUCUGGACAAGCUGAGGGCAGCUUUUCCCAAUGGGAGUUCUCUUCUUUUUCAAGCAGUUCAGGGUGGGUGGUGUACUCUACCUCAUUGUACUAUUUCUUCCUUCUCCAGACUUUCAGUUCGAUUGGGCCAGCUGAAGGUGGGAAGGGAAGACACAUUAGAUCCCGUCCUUAUAGCCUUUUAGAGUUUCAUGCUUGUCCCUGUAUGUUUCAAGGAUUGAUCCCGCUGCCUGGGCUUAGGCUUUUUAUUGAGUUGUCUUCCCAGGAUGACUGUUGCCUCAGCAUUAAAUAAGUUGCCAUGGCUUGAUUAUAUUUCCCCUGUAAACUUCCAUUUAUCUCUCCUUGCUUGUAUCUCAUGAGACCCAUGAUGACCAUUACAGUGUGGUUUGGGUGACUGUCUGUAUUCUUUCUUUUUUUUUCUUUUCUUUUUUUUUCUUUUUUCAGAGCUGGGGACCGAACCCAGGGCCUUGUGCUUGCUAGGCAAGCGCUCUACCACUGAGCUAAAUCCCCAACCCCCGUCUGUAUUCUUUCUAAAGGAACUGCUUCAACCUUAAUUGUCAUGCUUUAGCCAUUCAAAUUUCACAAUAUCAUGGCCUCUGUUCAGGGUGUACAAUUUCACAAAGUGACAAUCAUUUCACAUUUCUGGGGACAGCUUGAAUUUUACAUAAGUACUGUCCGCCAAUGUCUUUAUACUUACUUCCCUGGAAAAGAAGGCAUCCUGUUCACAUAAAAUGGAGCACAACCCUAAGCUCCACAUAUCAAUAGCAUGGCCAUCAUACCCUGUACCUUCAAGGAGUUCUGCAGCACGAUACAGAAGGCUCCCACUGAAUGUUGGCAACUUCUGACCACAAAUAAUAUUUUUGCUUAAUCUGUAAAAAGACUAAGGAUUAUUUCUUCAGCGUCCUCUAAAAUAUUUCUGGACUUUAGACCCCUAUGGACAAUACAUUUCUGUUGAUAAUAUCAGAGGAUGCUUACCAUUUACUUAAAUAGCCUAUGGGAUUCUUCUUCUGUUAAGUAGCCAAACUCUACAAUUCUACCUACCAACUCUACUCCCAUAUCAUUUUCCAGAAAAAUAUAAAUGUUUUUGUUAGUAAUAUGCAAAAGAUUAAUAACAUAAGGAUGUUAUAGAAUUUUAUUAAAUUUCUUAUUUAAUGAUGGUGUUCUGCCUUGUGAUAGAAUUUUAACUGGUACCAUAAUCUGCAGGAAAACAUGACAUGUUAAUUCCCUGAAUUCUCCUUGGCCUAAGGUCUUUAAGAUUUAUUAAUGUUCAGGUAAAGCCGCUUCUUCAAAGUGGUUUGGACCUUAGUUACUGACACAAGCCUUUUAUAGGAAAGCCAUUUCUCAGGUCUUUGAGAUCCACCUUUUAAAGGGAUCCUGGGGUACAGUCUGUGACCAACCACAAAGAUGUCCCUGGGGUGUGUGUGUGUGUGUGUGUAUAUAUAUAUAUAUAUAUAUAUAUAUAUAUAUAUAUAUAUGUAUAUAUAUAUAUAUAUAUAUAUAUAUAUAUGGAAGACAGGUUUGACACUCUUUUACAGGGGGAAACAUCACCUUAGGCCUCCUUGCUGGAGAAUGGAGAUGAUGUAAGCUAUGAGGUCGUAUUGUCCUUUGAACCAGUCAUACUCAUGUCAGGAUGACGCAUGAGGUCAUCCUGAGGUGAGGUUUGUGGAAGAGACCAGUGAUCUUUUCACUGGGUAUGCUGGUCUCCUUAUACUGAGCUUCCUCCACAGAGGCAUGAUGACAUAAACACCUCAUGAAGACACUGACUCUUUCAAUUGGUAGAGCCAGCUCUCAACACAUCCAUGGAUGACUGGCUAGAGUAGAUUUCCAAUGAUGAAUCCUCUGAAGACAUUCUGAUAGAGCUUUCAUUUGAGAUGUAACUGCCCCACCAUGUGCUACUAAUGAAGUGAGACUUGUGGAUAAACUGGGAGCACAUUCUGUGAAUGAGAAUAGUCUUCUUGUUCAAGUAGUUCAGAGUUGGUAGCAUAGGAUACCUCAUUGUACUAUUUCUUUCCUUCUUGGGAAUUUCAAGUAAACUAGGAAAACUUAAGGUGGAUGGGUAGGAACAGUAGAGCCCUUCAUGAUAGCUGUUUGUUGUAUCAUGGUUGGCCUUGUGUGUUUCAAUGUUUGGUCCUACUACCUGGACCUAGAUUUUUUUUUUAUUGCGUUUCCCUGUGUUGACUCUUGCCUCAGCAUCAAAUCUAUAGCCAUCACAUGGUCAACCUUUUUCUCCUAUAAACUUUACUUUAUCUCUCAUUGUUUCUAUACCAUGAUACACACUAUGUCCAUUAUAGUGGGGUUUGGGUGGCAGUCAGUGUUCUCUUUAAAGGAACUGCAAGAACCUUCAUUGUCAUGUGUUAGCCAUUCCAAACUCACAAUGUCAUGCAGUGUUGGCCUUUGUGCAGAGUUUACAAGUUAGCAAUCAUGUCACAAUUUUGAGGUGACAGCUUGAUUUUUACAGAAGUACUUUCGUGCCAAGGUUGUCUGCUAUAGUGUUUUAUUGUUAUGUCCCUGGAAAGGGAGGCAUCCUGUUCACAUAUGGCAAAGCAAAACCCCCAGAGUCUAGUGAUCAAUGGAGUGGCCAUCAUACCCUUUACCUUCGAAGAGUUCUGGGCACAGGAAGGGAGUUUCCCACAGUUUUUUUUUGUUUGUUUGUUUUUGUUUUUUUGCUAGUUUGGCCAGUGGUAGUCUUUUUGUCUGAUCUGAAAUCACUAAGUUUUAUAUUUCUUUUGCCUUCCACUAAAGUAUUUCUGUGCUUUAAUUCUCUGAGGGCCAUAUAUUUUGGUGACAAUAAUGUAGCUACAUAGCAUUUUUUUAAGUAGCCUAAGGAAUUCUUGCUCAGGUAGGUUUCCAAUCUCCCCAAUUCUGUGCAACAACUCUCAUUCCACCUCAUGUUCCGCAAUCAUAUAAAUGAUUUUUGUCUAUAGUGUACAAAAGUUUAGGAAUAUGAGGGUGAUGCAAAGGUUUUAUAAUUUCAAUUUCUGAUUUGAUGAGGGUGUUCUUUCUCCCUUUUGAUAGAAUUUUAACUGCUACCAUAGUCUGCAUGAGGAGAUGGCUAGUCAGUUUUACUAUGAUGAGUGCUUCUUGGCCAAGGAACUUUAAGACUCUUUAAUGAGCCCUUAAAUUGUCUUCACCUAAAGGGUUGGACCUUAGGACCAGACUCCCUUGCCAUCUCUUCAUACUUGUUAGGAAUCUUCAGUAUCAACACCAACUUGUGAUGCAAGAUAAAAGUGAAUUAAAAGAGGGUCUAAGAGAAAUAGCUAUAACUAUAAAUGUCUGCAGUUAAAGAAAAGGUCCCCCAAGUUAUCUACUGAUGCAUUUAAACUUCAUGGAAAGCAUGGUCAGAACAGAACAUUCACGCCACAAGCAGUUAAGUAUGAAAAGGGAUCACUGUCUAAGGCCAAGUAGGUUCACCAGUGUCUGAGCACAAAUUUUCACCAGCAUUCGAGGCCAAAUUUCUCCAGCUUUCAGUCCAAACUUCACCAGCAACCAUGUAAGUGAUUUCACCAAUAUCCGUGUCAGGAGCCACUAUAGGACAGGCUGAUAACUAGCUGAUGAUCUUCCUGAGAUGGUUUGCUUAGGGUUACAAUAUAACUGGUGACAGAUUCACUCUUCAAGCAAGGCCAUAAGACAAUUCAUUUUAGGAAAGAUUCCUGCUGUUAAUAUACUUUUCCAGUUAUGAUUAAACAUGUAUAACAUCACUGGGUAUUAUCCCACCCCUUUAGAGCAGCUCUCUGCAGAUCUACGAAGAUUUACUGUCUUAUAGUGAUGCUAUAUAGACAAAUACAUGACUUCUUCAGUCGUAAUGAUGAUCCUAUAAGAAAUCCAAAAUUUAUAAGAAAUACUCAAGUUAAUAAAAAAAAAAGAAAUCCAAAAUUUAUAUCAGUGAGUAUUAAGCUCUUUUAUACUGGGACUGCUACUGAUCCUUUUCUGAUAGUCAAAACUACAAUGAGAACUCUGACAGUCUCCCACAUGUAACCAGACUUUCUCCUACUUAGAACACAUUGCCAGAGGUACAACAAUUAACCAAAUGUCAUAAAAGAGGAACUAUUGAUUUAUUAUAGGUUCUAGGACAGAAGAAAACAUAUUGAUGGGGUUUAUCUAUACAAAACUUCACUAAAAACUUAAUUGUUGUUUUGAACUUACAACGAACCUGUGGAGCUGUUCUCACCUGUGGUGAGAGAUGUUUAGCCAGAUACUUACUCCUAAUGGGUAUGCAUGUAAACAUUCUCUUUUGUAAACUUCUAUCUCCAUUUAUGAUUUGAUUUUUUCUGUGAACUUGUGAUGAACUUUUUAACAUGUGAUCAUAAAUACUGAAAGAUGUAUAAGUACUGAGGACAAAGAGAGAAGAAUUUUUCCCCUUCCUCCCUAAGGAUCUUUCCACUUUAAGCCUUGGAUAACUUUCAUAGGAAACGUUUUACAACUUACCAAUAAACACUAUAAUCAUUUUCAAA
This is a long non-coding RNA of Rattus norvegicus (Norway rat), 17705 nucleotides long. RefSeq lists it as uncharacterized. The record is from RefSeq and is a predicted model, not a curated record. NCBI's taxonomy places the organism in Eukaryota, Metazoa, Chordata, Mammalia, Rodentia, Muridae.